RNAcentral lists this long non-coding RNA (4019 nucleotides) under Homo sapiens (human). Its description in RNAcentral is "HSALNT0183102". The record is from RNAcentral. Lineage: Eukaryota; Metazoa; Chordata; Mammalia; Primates; Hominidae.
CGAAGUGUGCUGUGCAACCACACGGCACUACUGAUGUUUCUUGCAUGAAGUCUGAGCCCCUCUGAGCCUUGUGACCUAAAUUGCAAGGCUGGUCUCAUGAAGCUGUUCUCAGAGCAAGAGUUAAGAAUUACUGCAGACAAUAAACUCCUUGAAUAACAGAGGACCUGGAAUGUUGUCUGUAACACAGAAGAUUCUUAAUAAAGGCCUGCCAACUUGAAGUGGACUUAACACACCUGCUCUUGCCAUAAGCACAUUGUUUUCAAGAGGAGAAGCUGGGAUCCAUGUCACUUAAGCAGUGUAUGGGCAAUGUCACAGCCAUGAAUGGAGGAAAGCCAGGGACUGAAUCCUAAUCCAGCCAGAGGGUGAUGAGAAAGAUGGACUUGGACUUCAAAGAAAUGAAAAAGCAUCAGAGAGAAGGAGAGACAGGGGUCUCAGAUACAGAGGCCACCGUGAAUCACAUCACCCAGCCCUGCAGUUGCCUUGCACCUCCUGCAUUAGCGGCACCAGUGAUGCGUGUCUGUCAUCUCCCCUGCCACGGUUUGCAUCCCUAGCCCAGCACCGGGAUGGAUGAAAGGGAUCAGAGUCCAAGAGGAGCCUGCUCUUCAAAAAUGCCUAGCGACAAACAGUCCUGGGAGGAUGGCCACAGGGAAAUGGAAGAGAAAACUGAAUUAUUCUGAUUUACCUUCUCUUGUUAAUCGGGUCCCUUUGCAACCACUAGAGACUUUCAGGAAAAAAAAUCAGCUUAUUUAUCUCCUUUCAUAUGGAAUGUAGGUUUUUGAGGUCUCAUUCUAUAUUCCUUAUGUAUCCUUAAAGAAAUACUCUAGAGAUAAGACCAGUUUCUGGAAGAGGUGGGGGUGAGUUAAAGAGAGGAGCAAAUUCUUCUCUGGCCCAAGAAAGAAAAUGCAGCUCAAUUUCUUUUCAGGACCCCAGGAAAAGUCCUCAUGUCCAGAAACUCAUCAGAUUCACUUUAUCUUUGUGAUCCUCUCUGAGUCUAUCUCUGCUAUUAAGGUUGUUGCUGCCCAAAGACUCCCCACACACAACUCACCGAAAGGGGCUGGUGAGAAUGUCAGGCCUGCCCCCGAUUCAGUAGCUCAGUGACUAGAACUAACUCUAAUUUCAAGGUUGAGGAUUUUAUAAUUUCAGAGGUUCCUGGGGCAACUGUUUCUGGAAAAUAAACAUCCUUGAGAGUAAACUGGAUUUCUUGGAUGAGUGCACUGUAUGGGUGCUGUGUCUUGGAACAGUCACCUCCUUUCGUCUUCUGCACACAGGAUAAGAUUUUACUCAUUUUUCAGUCUUGGUCAAGGGAGUAGAGGACAGAGUUUUAGUGAAGGAGGGAGCCUGCCUUAGGCAUGCAUUUGAGCCCCACUAUCCACUAUUUUUUUUUUUUUUUUUUUUUUUAUUGAGACUGAGUCUUGCUCUGUUGCCCAGGCUGGAGUGCAGUGGCACAAUCUCGUCUCACUGCAACCUCUGCCUCCCGGGUUCAAGAGAUUCACCUUCCUCAGCCUCCCGAGUAGCUGGGACUACAGGUGCCUGCCACCAGACCCAACUAAUUUUUUGUAUUUUUAGUAGAGAUGGGGUUUCACCACGUUGCUCAAGCUGGUCUCAAAAACUCCUGAUUUCAGGUGAUCUGCCCACCCCGGCCUCCCAAAGUGCUGGGAUUACAGACGAGAGCCACUGUGCACAGCCUAGCCCCACUCACUCUUGACUCUUCACAUCUUCUUGGUUUUUUAUUUUUUCUUGGUUCUUCAUAUUUCAUUUAUGAUUCUCUUGUACCUAAGUUUUGAUGACUAAUUAGGGUAGAGAAAAUGGAGACCAACAGAUAAAGGAAAGCCAACCUACACAUUCAUAAAGGUCCUUAGAGGGCCUGUGAAGUAUUUUUACUAUUUCAAACAUGAAAAAUAUGUGUUUAUUUGAGGAACAGUGCAACAGGUGAACUACAAUAUCUGUGUCUUUUUCCUUCAUUUGGAAUUGAAUUGGUUCAAAGUGGCAGUUCUGCUUAUCUGAAGCUGAUCAGAGCUGUGAUUGGCUAUGAUGUCAGCACUAUUUCUUUUUCCAUAACACUUUGAUCUUCUAAUAUGUUACAUUAUUUACUCAUUUAUGGUGUUAGUUGGAUUGUGUUAGUUCUCUUUCUAGAAUGGAAAUUCCAUGAGGAUGGGGGAUUUUCAAAUAUUUUGUUCCCUGUUAUAACCCAAGCCUCUAAAACAGUGUAGGAAGUACAAUAUUUAUUGUGAAAAACAACAAACAAAAUGAGUAUUUAUAGAAAGUUUGAAUUCAAGCCAGUAAUUUGUUGUAGAGUUCCUACCUUUUCUUUCUUUCUUUCUUUUUUUUUUUUUUUUUUUGAGAUGGAGUUUCACUCUUGUUGCCCAGGCUGGAGUGCAACGAUGUGAUAUUGGUUCACCACAACCUCCGCCUCCUGAGUUCAGGCAAUUCUCCUGCCUCAGCCUCCUGAGCAGCUGGGAUUACAGGCAUGUGCCACCACGCCCGGCUAAUUUUGUAUUUUUAGUAGUGCCCGGCUAAUUUUGUAUUUUUAGUAGAGACGGGGUUUCUCCAUGUUGGUCAGGCUGGUCUCAAACUCCCGACCUCAGGUGAUCCGCCUGCCUCGGCCUCCCAAAGUGCUGGGAUUACACAUGUAAGCCACCGUGCCCGGCCUAGAGUUCCUAUCUUAUCUACAUUCUCUUCUUGUCCCAGAAUGAAUGCAGAGAAUUUCAGGGGUUCUCCAAACCCCCUACCGACCUAGUUUAACUGUACUGGAUGACAAUAUCCGAGGAAGCCACUAAUAGAGAGAGAAGAAUGUCAUGGAAAGCAUACCAGCUGGGUCAUUGCAGCUCUUUCCCUGACUACCUGGUUGGUGACCCUGGGCAAAGUGCAUGUAUCUCCCAACCUCUAACGAAUGAUAAAAGUACCAACUUCACUGUAUCUUUGAGAGACUGAAACAAAGUAAUACAUGCCACAAGUGGUGAGCCUGUUGUUUGUCACAUAAUAAGCAUUCUACAAAUGUUAAUUUUUCUCUUCUAACUUUGAUAGGCAAUAAAACCAAGGGGGAAACAAGCUAUAAAGUGACGCAUUUUUCACAGCAAUAGCUCCUAGGGGGUAAGUAUUGUUUCUUUUGUGAGUUCUUAACAGUUUCUUACUUCUGAGUACUCAAAGAAACUAUAUCAUCACUAAAUAUUACUUUCCAGGCCAUUAACCUAUCUUAUCAGAGGCAAGUAAAAAAUAUUAUCAUUUGAUUAUUGACUUACUACAGCUACUAUUCACAUGUGUGUAGGGUACUUCCUUCUCCAAUUAGAUUAUAAAAGCUACCUGUAUUUUCCAUAGUGACUUAUAAUACUGCUUUGUGUGGACGUGGCCAAUAUAUUUUGUUCACAGGUUGUUUAAUGAAGAGUUUCUAACAUUUUAUUAAACGUCACAUGCUGUGCUUAAUGAAGAGAAGUUCCCCUAAAUCCCAAAGCAUAGAAUACAUCAGUCUUAUGCCUGAGCCCCAUCAUGGGAAUUCUGGGUCAGGUUUACAUGGGGAAGGCAGAGGCAUCCUGCUAUUCUGCACCUCUGGCAUGCCUGGGUCUCUAGAUUCACUGCUGCCAUAUCCCUGGGAGCUGGUGCCAAAGGACUGUCAGUAUGUCUGGGCACCUUCCCGAAUCUCAAACACAAGUGGAAAAACAUAGGCUCUUCUGGGGAUACAAUUGAUAGAUGACAUUAAGCAAAUUGCUUGGGAGUUGAUGACUAAACAAGGCCUCAAGGGUCCAGCCCAGGUAUAUGAAAGAGGACUUAGGAAGGUAACAGCCUAGACAUGAACACAUUUUUUCUCAGGUGUUAUCUUAGCCUCAUUUUCAAAAGAAUCACUCAGAGAGAUUUUUGAAACAUAGAUUCAUAUGUCCAGCCCUAGACCUGCUAAAUCAAGAUUUCUGUAUUUACAAAACAAAACAAAACAACAACAACAAAACCUUCUCAGAAGAUGUUGGUGCAGCGAAUCCAGUUCAUUAGCAAUAGAAUUACUAAAUUUUUCUACACCUAUUGUUGCCAAG